Molecule: ribosomal RNA, 621 nt
Filed under: Triticum aestivum (bread wheat)
Lineage: Eukaryota; Viridiplantae; Streptophyta; Magnoliopsida; Poales; Poaceae
Description: partial small subunit ribosomal RNA
Source: RNAcentral
AUGCAGCCACCACCGAGGUACUAUGCUCCUGAUGGUAUGGUUUGUAGACUUCACCGCUCCAUAUAUGGUCUCAAACAGGCCCCUCGCGCCUGGUUUGAGCGCUUCGCCUUUGUGGUGACCGCCGCUGGUUUCUUGCCCAGUGAUCAUGAUCCCACGUUGUUUAUUCACACGUCUCCUCAUGGUCGGACUCUUCUCCUUCUCUAUGUUGAUGACAUGAUCAUCACUGGUGACGACUCUGAUUACAUUGCCUUUGUUAAGGCUCGCCUUCGCGACCAGUUUCUCAUGACUGAUCUUGGUGCACUUCGCUAUUUUCUUGGGAUUGAGAUCUCCUCGACCUCUGAUGGCUUCUACAUCUCCCAAGAAAAAUACAUUCAGGACCUUCUUGCUCGCGCUGCUCUAGGUGAUGAGCGCACCGUUGUGACUUCCAUGGAGCUCAACGUUCAGCUUCGUGCCUCUGAUGGUGACCCUCUCCCUAAUCCCACUCGCUAUCGUCACCUUGUUGGCGGUCUUGUCUACCUUGAUGUUACGCGUCCUGACAUCUCCUAUCCCGUCCACAUUCUGAGUCAGUUCGUUUCAGCCCCCACCUCAGUCCACUAUAGUCAUCUCCUCCGUGUCCUAUGA